AUCUCGGUGGUCUAAAGGCUUGGGACGCUCGCACGGAAUGCAAGAGAUCCGGGUUCGAUUCCCAGCCGAGGUA
Molecule: transfer RNA, 73 nt
Filed under: Trachymyrmex cornetzi
Lineage: Eukaryota; Metazoa; Arthropoda; Insecta; Hymenoptera; Formicidae
Rfam family: tRNA
About the family: Transfer RNA (tRNA) molecules are approximately 80 nucleotides in length. Their secondary structure includes four short double-helical elements and three loops (D, anti-codon, and T loops).
Source: Rfam by way of RNAcentral